Molecule: ribosomal RNA, 489 nt
Filed under: uncultured bacterium
Lineage: Bacteria
Description: partial 16S ribosomal RNA
Rfam family: Bacterial small subunit ribosomal RNA
Source: RNAcentral
AUGAACGCUGGCGGCAUGCCUUACACAUGCAAGUCGAACGGCAGCAUGACCUAGCUUGCUAGGUUGAUGGCGAGUGGCGAACGGGUGAGUAAUGCAUCGGAACGUGCCUUUUAGUGGGGGAUAACGUAGCGAAAGUUACGCUAAUACCGCAUAUUCUCUGAGGAGGAAAGCAGGGGACCUUCGGGCCUUGCGCUAGAAGAGCGGCCGAUGUCGGAUUAGCUAGUUGGUGAGGUAAAGGCUCACCAAGGCAACGAUCCGUAGCGGGUCUGAGAGGAUGAUCCGCCAAACGGGGACUGAGACACGGCCCAGACUCCUACGGGAGGCAGCAGUGGGGAAUUUUGGACAAUGGGCGCAAGCCUGAUCCAGCCAUGCCGCGUGAGUGAAGAAGGCCUUCGGGUUGUAAAGCUCUUUCGGCUGGGAAGAAAUCGCACCCUCUAAUACAGGGUGUGGAUGACGGUACCAGCAUAAGAAGCACCGGCUAACUACGUG